GAUGAAUGCUGGCGGCGUGCCUAACACAUGCAAGUCGAGCGGCAGCGCAGUCUUCGGACUGGCGGCGAGCGGCGGACGGCUGAGUAACGCGUGGGAACGUACCCCAAAGUGAGGAAUAACCGCCCGAAAGGGUGGCUAAUGCCGCAUAUGGUCUUCGGAUUAAAGGAUUUAUCCGCUUUGGGAACGGCCUGCGUACGAUUAGCUAGUUGGUGAGGUAAUGGCUCACCAAGGCGACGAUCCCUAGCUGGUCUGAGAGGAUGAUCAGCCACACUGGAACUGAGACACGGUCCAGACUCCUACGGGAGGCAGCAGUGGGGAAUAUUGCACAAUGGGGGAAACCCUGAUGCAGCCAUGCCGCGUGUGUGAAGAAGGCCUUCGGGUUGUAAAGCACUUUCAGCGAGGAGGAAAGGUUGAUGCCUAAUACGUAUCAACUGUGACGUUACUCGCAGAAGAAGCACCGGCUAACUCCGUGCCAGCAGCCGCGGUAA
RNAcentral lists this ribosomal RNA (488 nucleotides) under uncultured bacterium. RNAcentral's name for it is "partial 16S ribosomal RNA". It matches the Rfam family "Bacterial small subunit ribosomal RNA", at positions 28 to 523 of the family's 1533-position model. The record is from RNAcentral.